CCCCAGACUCCUACGGGAGGCAGCAGUGGGGGAUAUUGCACAAUGGGGGAAACCCUGAUGCAGCGACGCCGCGUGUGGGAAGACGGUCCUCUGGAUUGUAAACCACUGUCCCCAGGGACGAAGAUGACGGUACCUGGGGAGGAAGCUCCGGCUAACUACGUGCCAGCAGCCGCGGUAAUACGUAGGGAGCGAGCGUUGUCCGGAAUUACUGGGUGUAAAGGGCGUGUAGGCGGGAAAGCAAGUCAGAUGUGAAAACCAUGGGCUCAACCUGUGGCCUGCAUUUGAAACUGUUUUUCUUGAGUACUGGAGAGGCAGACGGAAUUCCUAGUGUAGCGGUGAAAUGCGUAGAUAUUAGGAGGAACACCAGUGGCGAAGGCGGCUUACUGGACUGUAACUGACGUUGAGGCUCGAAAGCGUGGGGAGCAAACAGGAUUAGAUACCCGGGUAA
This 448-nucleotide ribosomal RNA is filed under the name uncultured bacterium. RNAcentral's name for it is "bacterial SSU rRNA". It matches the Rfam family "Bacterial small subunit ribosomal RNA", at positions 329 to 793 of the family's 1533-position model. The record is from RNAcentral.